CGGGGGAGGCUGGAUCCUGGGCUGUGUCCCUGCGCCCUGUGCUCCCGGUCUGCACUGUUGGAUUCGCGCUCCCUCCCCACAUCCCCUC
Molecule: microRNA precursor, 88 nt
Filed under: Canis lupus familiaris (dog)
Lineage: Eukaryota; Metazoa; Chordata; Mammalia; Carnivora; Canidae
Also listed under: 1 other name
Description: mir-8799 microRNA precursor family
Rfam family: mir-8799 microRNA precursor family
Source: Rfam by way of RNAcentral